This 481-nucleotide ribosomal RNA is filed under the name uncultured bacterium. RNAcentral describes it as "bacterial SSU rRNA". It matches the Rfam family "Bacterial small subunit ribosomal RNA", at positions 21 to 518 of the family's 1533-position model. The record is from RNAcentral.
GGCUCAGGACGAACGCUGGCGGCGUGCCUAACACAUGCAAGUCGAGCGAUGAAGUUCCUUCGGGAAUGGAUUAGCGGCGGACGGGUGAGUAACACGUGGGCAACCUGCCUCAAAGUGGGGGAUAGCCUUCCGAAAGGGAGAUUAAUACCGCAUAACAUUAUCUCUUUGCAUGAAGAGAUAAUCAAAGGAGCAAUCCGCUUUGAGAUGGGCCCGCGGCGCAUUAGCUAGUUGGUGAGGUAACGGCUCACCAAGGCGACGAUGCGUAGCCGACCUGAGAGGGUGAUCGGCCACAUUGGAACUGAGAUACGGUCCAGACUCCUACGGGAGGCAGCAGUGGGGAAUAUUGCGCAAUGGGGGAAACCCUGACGCCAGCAACGCCGCGUGAGUGAUGAAGGUCUUCGGAUUGUAAAACUCUGUCUUUGGGGACGAUAAUGACGGUACCCAAGGAGGAAGCCACGGCUAACUACGUGCCAGCCGCUGC